AUUGAACGCUGCGGCAGGCCUAACACAUGCAAGUCGAACGGUAACAGGGAGCAGCUUGCUGCUCUGCUGACGAGUGGCGGACGGGUGAGUAAUGUCUGGGAAACUGCCUGAUGGAGGGGGAUAACUACUGGAAACGGUAGCUAAUACCGCAUAACGUCUACGGACCAAAGUGGGGGACCUUCGGGCCUCAUGCCAUCAGAUGUGCCCAGAUGGGAUUAGCUAGUAGGUGGGGUAACGGCUCACCUAGGCGACGAUCCCUAGCUGGUCUGAGAGGAUGACCAGCCACACUGGAACUGAGACACGGUCCAGACUCCUACGGGAGGCAGCAGUGGGGAAUAUUGCACAAUGGGCGCAAGCCUGAUGCAGCCAUGCCGCGUGUAUGAAGAAGGCCUUCGGGUUGUAAAGUACUUUCAGCGGGGAGGAAGGUGUUGUGGUUAAUAACCGCAGCAAUUGACGUUACCCGCAGAAGAAGCACUGGCUAACUCCGUGCCAGCAGCCG
Molecule: ribosomal RNA, 499 nt
Filed under: Cronobacter sakazakii
Lineage: Bacteria; Pseudomonadati; Pseudomonadota; Gammaproteobacteria; Enterobacterales; Enterobacteriaceae
Description: bacterial SSU rRNA
Rfam family: Bacterial small subunit ribosomal RNA
Source: RNAcentral